RNAcentral lists this long non-coding RNA (671 nucleotides) under Nicotiana benthamiana. RNAcentral's name for it is "long non-coding RNA (NBEN_LNC024397)". The record is from RNAcentral. Lineage: Eukaryota; Viridiplantae; Streptophyta; Magnoliopsida; Solanales; Solanaceae.
UAAAUAAUAAAAAAGAAUAGAAAUGCCAUAGGCGACCCCAAGCGUUUCCUUGUUUUCUUGUUAUUUGAUGCAUCUAUGGAAUAUGGUAUGUGAUGACUUCAUGCUCGGGUAGGGGUCUAGGAGAGUCUCAAAUUAAGACUCUUCUUGGGGGCAGUGAACCAGGACCGUUGUCUCAAAUCCAAUGGACGCCGCUCUCGAACCAGCUACCUCGAACUAACGUCAAUUACCGGAAGAAAACUAGGAAAAUUUGUGUUAUGUCUAAACGCCGACAGAGGUAAGCAGAUUAAAAGGAAGUGAGCUUGAGCUUUUUAAAAUUUUUUAUUUUUUGAAUAAAACGAGUUAUAACAGUAGGCUUUAAGGAAUUAACAACGACAACUAAAAAUUUGAGCUUGAGGGUAAAAGGAGCAUUUCGGCCCUUAAUGUUUUUGGCGUUAAAAGGCGCGGCUGAAGCCAUCCUCGAAAAUCUCUUCAAAGGUUAGUAAUUAUAGGCUGAUUUCUAGGGUUCUUAGUUUGGGCGGAAUUUUGAAAUUGAGUGAAAGCUAUUGAACGUUUGAAAUUGGAACAUUGAUGGUGCGUAAUAAGGUGUAGAGCUUCUUGUUAAAAAUGGUAAUAGAAAGUUCUGCCAUAGUUGAGCAAGGAUGGAAUUUUGUGAAGAAUAGGAAAGAGAGGAG